RNAcentral lists this ribosomal RNA (445 nucleotides) under uncultured bacterium. RNAcentral describes it as "partial 16S ribosomal RNA". It matches the Rfam family "Bacterial small subunit ribosomal RNA", at positions 331 to 792 of the family's 1533-position model. The record is from RNAcentral.
CCAGACUCCUACGGGAGGCAGCAGUGGGGAAUAUUGCACAAUGGGGGAAACCCUGAUGCAGCGACGCCGCGUGGGCGACGAGGCGCUCCGGCGCGUAAAGCCCUGUCAGCAGGGAAGAACAAAGACAGUACCUGACCAAGAAGCCCCGGCUAACUACGUGCCAGCAGCCGCGGUAAUACGGAGGGUGCAAGCGUUGUCCGGAAUCAUUGGGCGUAAAGAGUUCGUAGGCGGUAUGUUAAGUCUGGUGUUAAAUGCAGAAGCUCAACUUCUGUUCGGCACUGGAUACUGGCAAACUAGAAUGCGGGAGAGGUAAAGGGAAUUCCUGGUGUAGCGGUGAAAUGCUUAGAUAUCAGGAGGAACAUCGGUGGCGUAAGCGCUUUACUGGGCCGUAAUUGACGCUGAGGAACGAAAGCCAGGGUAGCAAAUGGGAUUAGAUACCCGUGUA